Molecule: long non-coding RNA, 570 nt
Organism: Sinocyclocheilus grahami
Lineage: Eukaryota; Metazoa; Chordata; Actinopteri; Cypriniformes; Cyprinidae
Source: Ensembl
GCUGCUCAGUUGUUAGUUGUAGGCGGGGCCUCUGAGGGCAACUUGGUCCACUAAAAGCAAAAGCAUUUAAUUUUAUUUUCCUAAACAAGAAAAUAUAUAUACAUUUGGUAAAUACAUAACAUAAAAAUAUGAAAUGUUUAAAAAUUAAGUAUGUUUUAUUCUUAUUAACUUCGCUGGCACAUGGCAUUACAUUUCGCGCCAGAAGUGGACUGCUUGAUUAUUAAUUAGCAUUUAGGCCUAAUACAUUUCUGAUAUAUGUACAAUUUUAUAUGAUAGUCGGGUAAAUAUUGAAAUAAGAAGUUGAAAUUGACCAAAAAUGACGCAUUCUCCAGCUUCAUUGUGGAAAGAUCGCGAAGUGAAGUGUACACAGUGUGGUUUCUGUGGAUGGCCUGCAUUUCUUCAGCAGCAGCAGAAUCCUCUGAGGAACUGGCCUGACUCAUCUGCAUCUGUGACAGGUUCAGGCUUUGCGGAAGGCAAAGAAGAGGAGAGCGGAGGGGAGGAAAAAUGGAGAAAGGAAAAGGAAAGCAUUGAUAAAUUUGAUUUCCACACACAUGCUAGAUGCAGUUAGGC